This 606-nucleotide ribosomal RNA is filed under the name Triticum aestivum (bread wheat). Its description in RNAcentral is "partial small subunit ribosomal RNA". Lineage: Eukaryota; Viridiplantae; Streptophyta; Magnoliopsida; Poales; Poaceae. The record is from RNAcentral.
AUGGUUGGUGGCCCCCGUGACCCGCGCUAUCUAAACAGAGGUGGGGGCCGCGGCACGAGGGACGAGGUUAAUCGUUGCCACAAUCCCCACCGAUCUAGGGUUAGCGCGAUGCUCACGGGAAGCUCCACCACCGCCGCCAUCCACUCACUGCCAUCACCGGCCACCAUCACCAUGGCCGGCGCUGGAUCGAGCUCGUCAGCACAAGAAGGAGUCUUUCACCUGAUGAGUUGCCUAAAACAAGUUCCGACACUCAGAGGUGACAAUCACACUGCAUGGAGGAAGAAAGUUGACCUGGCAUUUGUCCUUGCUGACCUGGACUGGGUUGUGGAUGAACCACAGCCGGUCAGACCUACAGAGCCAGUAAGAGAGGCCACUGAUGAUGAUGCUGCGUGGGCUAAAAAGAGGGGGGAUUAUGCUCCUUUGGAGAUGUCAUACAUCAUAGGAAACCAAAAGUGGGUCCAUGUAAACAAAAAGUGCAUGACAUUUAUAAAGAAUACAAUUGAGAGUACCAUUGUGGGCUCCAUUGCAGAGUGCACUUCCGCAGGGGAGUUGCUUACAAAGAUAAAGAGCCAGUUCACUGGCUAUUCAAAGAUAUAUGCCACCUAG